RNAcentral lists this ribosomal RNA (312 nucleotides) under uncultured bacterium. Its description in RNAcentral is "bacterial SSU rRNA". It matches the Rfam family "Bacterial small subunit ribosomal RNA", at positions 31 to 334 of the family's 1533-position model. The record is from RNAcentral.
GUUAGAACGCUAGCGGGAUGCCUUACACAUGCAAGUCGAACGGCAGCAUAAGAGAGCUUGCUCCCGGGUGGCGAGUGGCGCACGGGUGAGUAAUACAUCGGAACGUGUCCUGGUUGUGGGGGAUAACUGACUCGAAAGGUGGCUAAUACCGCAUGAGACCUGAGGGUGAAAGCGGGGAUCGCAAGACCUCGCGACAAUUGGAGCGGCCGAUGCCCGAUUAGCUAGUUGGUGAGGUAAAGGCUCACCAAGGCGACGAUCGGUAAGCUGGUCUGAGAGGACGACCAGCCACACUGGGACUGAGACACGGCCCAG